RNAcentral lists this ribosomal RNA (440 nucleotides) under uncultured bacterium. RNAcentral's name for it is "partial 16S ribosomal RNA". It matches the Rfam family "Bacterial small subunit ribosomal RNA", at positions 338 to 795 of the family's 1533-position model. The record is from RNAcentral.
CCUACGGGCGGCAGCAGUGGGGAAUAUUGCACAAUGGGGGAAACUCUGAUGCAGCGACGCCGCGUUAGUGAAGAAGGAUUUCGGUAUGUAAAGCUCUAUCAGCAGGGAAGAAAACGACGGUACCUGUCUAAGUAGCCCCGGCUAAAUACGUUCCAGCAGCCGCGGUAAUACGUAGGGGGCCAGCGUUAUCCGGAUUUACUGGGUGUAAAGGGGGCGGAUAGGGUGGGGCAAGUCUGAAGUGAAAGGCAGGGGCUUAAGCCCUGAACUGCUUUUGAAACUGCCCCGCUAGAGUGCUGGAGAGGUAAGUGGAAUUCCUGGUGUAGCGGUGAAAUGCGUAGAUAUUAGGCAGAACACCGGUGGCGAAGGCAGCUUACUGGUCUAUUACUGACGUUGAGGCACGAAAGCGUGGGGAGCAAACAGGAUUAGAUACCCCUGUAGUC